GAACCGUUUAGCUAACACUGUUGACGCUCAUGUUUUUAAGCAGCUAAGAAUCAAGUGGACCACUUCAAUCUGUAAAUAUAAACACAGUAAUGCUAUUGCCAUUCAUUUGCCUGACCUGCCAGUCCCUCCUACAUAUUUCUUCUUGGCCCGUUUGUCUGAGUCCAAAAGUUCACUGGAUUUGUCCUCGUCCUCCUCGUCAUCUUCCUCAUCGUCGUCAUCUUCAUCGUCCUCGGGCAGAUCCUCCAGGUCGCUGCUGAGGGACCCAUCGCUGGAAAUGUCGGAGGAAGAUCCCGAUUCACUGUGGCUGGCUGUGGAGCCGUCUGCUGGCUUCUUACGUGACUUCUGGAUCAAAAGAGAACAACAAAAUAUCUCAUCUGAUCUUUGUAUAAUGUAUAAUGUUUAGCUUCUUCCAAACUAAAUAUAACAGCAAAGUAGGACAGUUGACUCUAAAAAUAACUCUCACUUUUGUUUUCAUUUAUAUGUAUGCAUUCACAGUUUUGUUUUCCGCAUUUGAUUGUUCUGCUAUAAUCAUUUAGAAUCAAUUAGCAUACAUUUUCAAGCCUGUUGUUUGCGAAAUUUUAGUGAUACCAGUAUUGUGUUGUGUUUGGAUUAGUGUUAAUUAUGCAGAGUAAAAAGUUUUGUCAUCAUCUUCA
Long non-coding RNA from Boleophthalmus pectinirostris (great blue-spotted mudskipper), 653 nucleotides. RefSeq lists it as uncharacterized. The record is from RefSeq and is a predicted model, not a curated record. NCBI's taxonomy places the organism in Eukaryota, Metazoa, Chordata, Actinopteri, Gobiiformes, Gobiidae. The transcript has 2 exons.